AAAGGCAGAGGGGGCAGAUAAGCCUCACCUCUCCUGCAAAGGCAGCCUUCAGUGGAAGAGAUUUGUAAAAACUUCAGCCAAGAGCUGUUUCUGUAGUAUCUUGGCUAUCCCCUAGUGCUGGAGGAAUAACACAUCAGCUUUCCUGUAGAGAGAUGAAAAAAAAUGCUGCAGAAGAUGAAAGCAAGAAUGAAUGGAGAGAGAAAGAAGACGGUAUCCAAGCUGUGGCUUGCUGAUUUUUGGAAACGUAAAUCAAUUAAUGUGUCAAUGGAUGUGAAAGUUAAGAAUAAAGUUUACAGCCUGUA
This is a long non-coding RNA of Gallus gallus (chicken), 302 nucleotides long. RefSeq lists it as uncharacterized. The transcript is spliced from 2 exons. The record is from RefSeq and is a predicted model, not a curated record. NCBI's taxonomy places the organism in Eukaryota, Metazoa, Chordata, Aves, Galliformes, Phasianidae.